RNAcentral lists this ribosomal RNA (563 nucleotides) under Pangio pangia. RNAcentral describes it as "partial 16S ribosomal RNA". It matches the Rfam family "Bacterial large subunit ribosomal RNA", at positions 1901 to 2614 of the family's 2925-position model. Lineage: Eukaryota; Metazoa; Chordata; Actinopteri; Cypriniformes; Cobitidae. The record is from RNAcentral.
CCAGCCUGCCAGUGACCACAAGUUCAACGGCCGCGGUAUUUUGACCGUGCAAAGGUAGCGCAAUCACUUGUCUUUUAAAUGAAGACCUGUAUGAAUGGCUAAACGAGGGCUUAACUGUCUCCCAUCUCAAGUCAGUGAAAUUGAUCUGCCCGUGCAGAAGCGGACAUAAAUAUACAAGACGAGAAGACCCUUUGGAGCUUAAGGUACAAAUCCAACCGCGUCAAACAGCUUAUCUAAACAAGCUCUAAACCUAGCGAAAAUGGAAUUUUACCUUCGGUUGGGGCGACCACGGAGAAAAAAUCAUCCUCCGAGUGGACUGGGUUAAUUAAUCCUAAAACCAAGAAAAACAUUUCUAAGUCACAGAACGUCUGACCAAUAAUGAUCCGGCCAUAGGCCGAUCAACGGACCAAGUUACCCUAGGGAUAACAGCGCAAUCCUCUCCCAGAGUCCAUAUCGACGAGGGGGUUUACGACCUCGAUGUUGGAUCAGGACAUCCUAAUGGUGCAGCCGCUAUUAAGGGUUCGUUUGUUCAACGAUUAAAGUCCUACGUGAUCUGAGUUCAG